This 261-nucleotide ribosomal RNA is filed under the name uncultured bacterium. RNAcentral describes it as "partial 16S ribosomal RNA". It matches the Rfam family "Bacterial small subunit ribosomal RNA", at positions 1231 to 1500 of the family's 1533-position model. The record is from RNAcentral.
UGGCAGGUACAGAGAGAAGCCAGGUGGCGACACCGAGCGGAACUCGAAAGCCUGUCUCAGUUCGGAUCGGAGUCUGCAACCCGACUCCGUGAAGCUGGAUUCGCUAGUAAUCGCGCAUCAGCCAUGGCGCGGUGAAUACGUUCCCGGGCCUUGUACACACCGCCCGUCAAGCCAUGGAAGCCGGGAGUGCCUGAAGUACGUAACCGCAAGGAUCGUCCUAGGGUAAAACUGGUAAUUGGGGCUAAGUCGUAACAAGGUAGC